This 480-nucleotide ribosomal RNA is filed under the name Vibrio owensii. RNAcentral's name for it is "bacterial SSU rRNA". It matches the Rfam family "Bacterial small subunit ribosomal RNA", at positions 289 to 761 of the family's 1533-position model. Lineage: Bacteria; Pseudomonadati; Pseudomonadota; Gammaproteobacteria; Vibrionales; Vibrionaceae. The record is from RNAcentral.
GGUCUGAGAGGAUGAUCAGCCACACUGGAACUGAGACACGGUCCAGACUCCUACGGGAGGCAGCAGUGGGGAAUAUUGCACAAUGGGCGCAAGCCUGAUGCAGCCAUGCCGCGUGUGUGAAGAAGGCCUUCGGGUUGUAAAGCACUUUCAGUCGUGAGGAAGGUGGUGUAGUUAAUAGCUGCAUUACUUGACGUUAGCGACAGAAGAAGCACCGGCUAACUCCGUGCCAGCAGCCGCGGUAAUACGGAGGGUGCGAGCGUUAAUCGGAAUUACUGGGCGUAAAGCGCAUGCAGGUGGUUUGUUAAGUCAGAUGUGAAAGCCCGGGGCUCAACCUCGGAAUAGCAUUUGAAACUGGCAGACUAGAGUACUGUAGAGGGGGGUAGAAUUUCAGGUGUAGCGGUGAAAUGCGUAGAGAUCUGAAGGAAUACCGGUGGCGAAGGCGGCCCCCUGGACAGAUACUGACACUCAGAUGCGAAAGCG